RNAcentral lists this long non-coding RNA (206 nucleotides) under Elaeis guineensis (African oil palm). RNAcentral describes it as "long non-coding RNA (EGUI_LNC050348)". The record is from RNAcentral. Lineage: Eukaryota; Viridiplantae; Streptophyta; Magnoliopsida; Arecales; Arecaceae.
ACUGGGGUGCUAGUUUUCUUACAAAGAUUGCAUCUUGAUGGUUGAAAAUCUUCUUUUCUCCUAAGACACUUGUUGGUGCAAAAUUCCAUCGAUGCUGGAGAAGCUAGAGUCGAGGGGAUUGUGGCCGCCGUCGGAACCUGCAAGAAAAGUCUAAACCGGAGUUGGGGGUUCUCCAGUAAGACUCUCCGAUGCUCAAGUCAGUACUC